AGUGAACGCUGGCGGCGUGCUUAACACAUGCAAGUCGAACGAGAACGGGAUAUAGCUUGCUAUAUUUGUCAGCUAAGUGGCGCACGGGAGAGUAAUGUAUAGAUAACCUGCCCUCUAGAAAGGAAUAACAGUUGGAAACGACUGCUAAUGCCCUAUAUGUCUUUAAUACAUAAGUAUGCAAGGGAAACGCUUUAGUGCUAGAGGAUGGGUCUGUAUGGUAUCAGCUUGUUGGUGAGGUAAUGGCUCACCAAGGCAAUGACGCCUAACUGGUUUGAGAAGAUGAUCAGUCACACUGGAACUGAGACACGGGCCAGACUCCUACGGGAGGCAGCAGUGGGGAAUAUUGCACAAUGGACGAAAGUCUGAUGCAGCAACGCCGCGUGGAGGAUGACACAUUUCGGUGCGUAAACUCCUUUUAUAUAGGAAGAUAAUGACGGUACUAUACGAAUAAGCACCGGCUAACUCCGUGCCAGCCGCCGCCGUAA
This 485-nucleotide ribosomal RNA is filed under the name uncultured bacterium. RNAcentral describes it as "partial 16S ribosomal RNA". It matches the Rfam family "Bacterial small subunit ribosomal RNA", at positions 29 to 523 of the family's 1533-position model. The record is from RNAcentral.